Molecule: ribosomal RNA, 175 nt
Filed under: uncultured bacterium
Lineage: Bacteria
Description: partial 16S ribosomal RNA
Rfam family: Bacterial small subunit ribosomal RNA
Source: RNAcentral
ACUCCUACGGGAGGCAGCAGUGGGGAAUCUUCGGCAAUGGGCGCAAGCCUGACCGAGCCAUGCCGCGUGAGCGAUGAAGGCCUUAGGGUUGUAAAGCUCUUUCGCCAGGGAUGAUAAUGACAGUACCUGGUAAAGAAACCCCGGCUAACUCCGUGCCAGCAGCCGCCGCGGUAAU